This 445-nucleotide ribosomal RNA is filed under the name uncultured bacterium. Its description in RNAcentral is "partial 16S ribosomal RNA". It matches the Rfam family "Bacterial small subunit ribosomal RNA", at positions 354 to 796 of the family's 1533-position model. The record is from RNAcentral.
GUAAGGAAUAUUGGUCAAUGGAGGCAACUCUGAACCAGCCAUGCCGCGUGCAGGAAGACGGCCCUCUGGGUUGUAAACUGCUUUUAUCCGGGAAUAAACCUGCCUUCGUGAAGGUAGCUGAAUGUACCGGAAGAAUAAGGAUCGGCUAACUCCGUGCCAGCAGCCGCGGUAAUACGGAGGAUCCAAGCGUUAUCCGGAUUUAUUGGGUUUAAAGGGUGCGUAGGCGGCCUGUUAAGUCAGGGGUGAAAGACGGUGGCUCAACCAUCGCAGUGCCCUUGAGACUGAUGGGCUUGAAUGGACUAGAGGUAGGCGGAAUGUGACAAGUAGCGGUGAAAUGCAUAGAUAUGUCACAGAACACCGAUUGCGAAGGCAGCUUACUAUGGUCCUAUUGACGCUGAGGCACGAAAGCGUGGGGAUCGAACAGGAUUAGAAACCCCAGUAGUCC